Oncorhynchus tshawytscha (Chinook salmon) is the source of this 491-nucleotide long non-coding RNA. NCBI's taxonomy places the organism in Eukaryota, Metazoa, Chordata, Actinopteri, Salmoniformes, Salmonidae. The record is from Ensembl.
AAGAGAGAGAGAGAGAGAGAGAGAGAGGUAGCAAGAAGAAGAGAGAGAGAGGUAGCAAGAGGAAGAGAGAGAGAGAGAGAGAGAGGUAGCAAGAGGAAGAGAGAGAGAGAGGUAGCAAGAGGAAGAGAGAGAGAGAGGUAGCAAGAAGAAGAGAGAGAGAGGUAGCAAGAGGAAGAGAGAGAGAGGUAGCAAGAAGAAGAGAGAGAGAGAGGUAGCAAGAGGAAGAGAGAGAGAGAGGUAGCAAGAAGAAGAGAGAGAGAGGUAGCAAGAGGAAGAGAGAGAGAGGUAGCAAGAGGAAGAGAGAGAGAGAGAGAGGUAGCAAGAGGAAGAGAGAGAGAGAGGUAGCAAGAGGAAGAGAGAGAGAGAGAGGUAGCAAGAAGAAGAGAGAGAGAGAGGUAGCAAGAGGAAGAGAGAGAGAGGUAGCAAGAAGAGAGAGAGAGAGAGAGGUAGCAAGAGGAAGAGAGAGAGAGGUAGCAAGAGGAAGAGAGAGA